This 1343-nucleotide ribosomal RNA is filed under the name uncultured bacterium. RNAcentral describes it as "16S ribosomal RNA". It matches the Rfam family "Bacterial small subunit ribosomal RNA", at positions 28 to 1378 of the family's 1533-position model. The record is from RNAcentral.
GACGAACGCUGGCGGCGUGCUUAACACAUGCAAGUCGAACGGAAAGGCCCUGCUUUUGUGGGGUGCUCGAGUGGCGAACGGGUGAGUAACACGUGAGUAACCUGCCCUUGACUUUGGGAUAACUUCAGGAAACUGGGGCUAAUACCGGAUAGGAGCUCCUGCUGCGUGGUGGGGGUUGGAAAGUUUCGGCGGUUGGGGAUGGACUCGCGGCUUAUCAGCUUGUUGGUGGGGUAGUGGCUUACCAAGGCUUUGACGGGUAGCCGGCCUGAGAGGGUGACCGGCCACAUUGGGACUGAGAUACGGCCCAGACUCCUACGGGAGGCAGCAGUGGGGAAUAUUGCACAAUGGGCGGAAGCCUGAUGCAGCAACGCCGCGUGCGGGAUGACGGCCUUCGGGUUGUAAACCGCUUUCGCCUGUGACGAAGCGUGAGUGACGGUAAUGGGUAAAGAAGCACCGGCUAACUACGUGCCAGCAGCCGCGGUGAUACGUAGGGUGCGGGCGUUGUCCGGAUUUAUUGGGCGUAGAGGGCUCGUAGGUGGUUGAUCGCGUCGGAAGUGUAAUCUUGGGGCUUAACCCUGAGCGUGCUUUCGAUACGGGUUGACUUGAGGAAGGUAGGGGAGAAUGGAAUUCCUGGUGGAGCGGUGGAAUGCGCAGAUAUCAGGAGGAACACCAGUGGCGAAGGCGGUUCUCUGGGCCUUUCCUGACGCUGAGGAGCGAAAGCGUGGGGAGCGAACAGGCUUAGAUACCCUGGUAGUCCACGCUGUAAACGGUGGGUACCAGGUGUGGGGUCCAUUCCACGGGUUCCGUGCCGUAGCUAACGCUUUAAGUACCCCGCCUGGGGAGUACGGCCGCAAGGCUAAAACUCAAAGGAAUUGACGGGGCCCCGCACAAGCGGCGGAGCAUGCGGAUUAAUUCGAUGCAACGCGUAGAACCUUACCUGGGUUUGACAUGGAUCGGGAGUGCUCAGAGAUGGGUGUGCCUCUUUUGGGGUCGGUUCACAGGUGGUGCAUGGCUGUCGUCAGCUCGUGUCGUGAGAUGUUGGGUUAAGUCCCGCAACGAGCGCAACCCUUGUUCACUGUUGCCAGCACGUUAUGGUGGGGACUCAGUGGAGACCGCCGGGGUCAACUCGGAGGAAGGUGGGGAUGACGUCAAGUCAUCAUGCCCCUUAUGUCCAGGGCUUCACGCAUGCUACAAUGGCUGGUACAGAGAGUGGCGAGCCUGUGAGGGUGAGCGAAUCUCGGAAAGCCGGUCUCAGUUCGGAUUGGGGUCUGCAACUCGACCUCAUGAAGUCGGAGUCGCUAGUAAUCGCAGGUCAGCAACGCUGCGGUGAAUACGUUCCCGGG